UCAUCAUAUUCUUCUUAAUUAUUCUUCUCACCGUUUACUUUUUUCUUCUUCACAGAACUAACAUGCUUACAUCGAUAUUUUUUUCCAGGUGUAUUCGAUUUUUAUCCUUCUGGUGUUCGUUGCAAUCGGUGGAGAAAAAAACGUACGUGUCUACGUGCAUGUGUCCUUUUUCCCCUCGAAGACUAUAUAACUCUAAAGUAUAAAUUAAUGAUUGAUACUUUGUUUUAAAAUGAUUGCAGAAUUGAGAUUUUCUGAAAU
Molecule: long non-coding RNA, 258 nt
Filed under: Erythranthe guttata (spotted monkey flower)
Lineage: Eukaryota; Viridiplantae; Streptophyta; Magnoliopsida; Lamiales; Phrymaceae
Description: long non-coding RNA (EGUT_LNC003787)
Source: RNAcentral